RNAcentral lists this ribosomal RNA (101 nucleotides) under uncultured bacterium. Its description in RNAcentral is "partial 16S ribosomal RNA". The record is from RNAcentral.
CCCGUCACACCCGGAAAGUUGACUGCACCAGAAGUCGUUGAGCUAACCCUGAGCUUGUCGAAGGGAGGCAGACGCCUACGGUGUGGUUGGUGAUUGGGGUG